GAACUGAAGAGUUUGAUCCUGGCUCAGAUUGAACGCUGGCGGCAUGCCUAACACAUGCAAGUCGAACGGAAACGAUGGAAGCUUGCUUCCAGUCGUCGAGUGGCGGACGGGUGAGUAAUGCUUGGGAAUCUACCCAGUAGUGGGGGACAACACGAGGAAACUCGUGCUAAUACCGCAUACGUCCUACGGGAGAAAGUGGGGGAUCUUCGGACCUCACGCUAUUGGAUGAGCCCAAGUCGGAUUAGCUUGUUGGUGGGGUAAAGGCCUACCAAGGCAACGAUCCGUAGCUGGUCUGAGAGGACGAUCAGCCACACUGGGACUGAGACACGGCCCAGACUCCUACGGGAGGCAGCAGUGGGGAAUAUUGGACAAUGGGCGCAAGCCUGAUCCAGCAAUGCCGCGUGUGUGAAGAAGGCCUGCGGGUUGUAAAGCACUUUCAGUUGGGAAGAAAAGGUCGAGCCUA
This 463-nucleotide ribosomal RNA is filed under the name Gammaproteobacteria bacterium. Its description in RNAcentral is "bacterial SSU rRNA". It matches the Rfam family "Bacterial small subunit ribosomal RNA", at positions 1 to 462 of the family's 1533-position model. The record is from RNAcentral. Lineage: Bacteria; Pseudomonadati; Pseudomonadota; Gammaproteobacteria.